This is a long non-coding RNA of Marmota flaviventris (yellow-bellied marmot), 932 nucleotides long. RefSeq lists it as uncharacterized. The record is from RefSeq and is a predicted model, not a curated record. Lineage: Eukaryota; Metazoa; Chordata; Mammalia; Rodentia; Sciuridae.
CAGGGAGGAGAGGGCCAGCAGGUAGGGCGUCAUGGACUCCCCUCACCAUCCUUCCUCAGGUACUGGGAAGGAGCUGUCAGCGGCCAGCGUGAGGCGAGUGGACAGGCGGCGAGGGACAACGGCCAAGAGAAGAGCUGUGGCGGCCGCCGGCGUGGAAACCACGGCGAGGGGCGGGGUCACGGUGGGCCGGGCUUCCUCCGGGGCGGGGCCUCGUGCAGGAUGGGCCUCGAUGGGCCGGGCUUCCUGCGGGGCGGGGCCUCUCCGGGGUCCGAGCCUCCCUGGCGAGGUCCCGCACCUGGGCUUCCCUCAAUGCACUGUCUGCAGCAGCUUGUGGCCAACAACCCCCAGAGCUGGUGAUGCAGCGUUCAGCCACUGCCUUUGGCAGCUUUCCGAGGGAGCGCGCCGCAGUCACGAAGCUGUGCACCCUCGGUGUUGUGGGUGGCGCCACCGUCUUGGGGAAAUCAGGCGCAGCCUGGGCACCUGAGUGCCCUUGCUUGUGGAAAGAGUUGGUGAUGUAUGAUAUGGUCUUGAGAUCCGUCUUGAGAAUCCCCCCAUCUCUUGGGGGGCAGCUGGAACCCCCCAAUUGGCCACAUUGCCAGGCCGGCCUACCUUGCAGUAUAUUCUCAGGCACUACCUGCUGUACCUGGACCAGGGGCAAGAGAGUGCUGCAGCCCUGAACAGAGACAGUACAGUGGACGUGGUCUGUGAGCCGAAGCUGUGCCAGACCUGCUGCCCGAUCUCAGCACCAGCUCAGCCACCCACAAGACACUAGGCUGGUCAAGAAGCACAGGACUCCCACCAAGUGAACCUGACCAUGGGCCAGGGCCUGCUAACCUGCCACAAGACCUCAGGACACAGGUCUCUCUGGAUGGCAGGCUGACCAAAUAGGAGACUGGGUGCCACAGGAGCUCAAUAAACAUUUGCUAAACUCA